UUCAGGCCUAACACAUGCAAGUCGAACGUGAAGCCACCUUUGGGUGGUGGAAAGUGGCAGACGGGUGAGUAACGCGUGGGAACGUGCCUUUCGGUUCGGAAUAACCCAGGGAAACUUGGGCUAAUACCGGAUACACCCUUCGGGGGAAAGAUUCAUCGCCGAAAGAUCGGCCCGCGUCGGAUUAGCUUGUUGGUGGGGUAAAAGCCUACCAAGGCGACGAUCCGUAGCUGGUCUGAGAGGAUGAUCAGCCACACUGGGACUGAGACACGGCCCAGACUCCUACGGGAGGCAGCAGUGGGGAAUAUUGGACAAUGGGCGCAAGCCUGAUCCAGCCAUGCCGCGUGGGUGAAGAAGGCCCUAGGGUUGUAAAUCCCUUUCAGCGGGGAAGAUAAUGACGGUACCCGCAGAAGAAGCCCCGGCUAACUCCGUGCCAGCAGCCGCGGUAAUACGGAGGGGGCUAGCGUUGUUCGGAAUUACUGGGCGUAAAGCGCGCGUAGGCGGACCUGCAAGUCGGGGGUGAAAUCCCGAGGCUCAACCUCGGAACUGCCUUCGAUACUGCGGGUCUCGAGUCCGGGAGAGGUGAGUGGAAUUCCUAGUGUAGAGGUGAAAUUCGUAGAUAUUAGGAAGAACACCAGUGGCGAAGGCGGCUCACUGGGCCGUGACUGACGCUGAGGCGCGAAAGCGUG
RNAcentral lists this ribosomal RNA (686 nucleotides) under uncultured bacterium. RNAcentral's name for it is "bacterial SSU rRNA". It matches the Rfam family "Bacterial small subunit ribosomal RNA", at positions 41 to 763 of the family's 1533-position model. The record is from RNAcentral.